AUCGCUUCUCGGCCUUUUGGCUAAGAUCAAGUGUAGUAUCUGUUCUUAUCAGUUUAAUAUCUGAUACGUCCUCUAUCUGAGGACAAACAUAUUAAAUGUAUUGUUGCGAGUAGGAGUUGGAUCAGGAGCUUGCUCCACCCACUCCACGCAUCAGCGUGGUAUUGCAGUACUUCCAGGAACGGUGCAGCCCCU
RNAcentral lists this small nuclear RNA (192 nucleotides) under Echinops telfairi (small Madagascar hedgehog). RNAcentral describes it as "U2 spliceosomal RNA (ENSETEG00000021105.1)". It matches the Rfam family "U2 spliceosomal RNA". Rfam says of the family: U2 is a small nuclear RNA (snRNA) component of the spliceosome (involved in pre-mRNA splicing). Complementary binding between U2 snRNA (in an area lying towards the 5' end but 3' to hairpin I) and the branchpoint sequence (BPS) of the intron results the bulging out of an unpaired adenosine, on the BPS, which initiates a nucleophilic attack at the intronic 5' splice site, thus starting the first of two transesterification reactions that mediate splicing. The record is from RNAcentral. Lineage: Eukaryota; Metazoa; Chordata; Mammalia; Afrosoricida; Tenrecidae.